UGAGGUGCUGGAGUACCGGAGAGGCAAGUGGAAUUCCCAGUGUAGCGGUGAAAUGCGUAGAUAUUGGGAAGAACAUCGGUGGCGAAGGCGACUUGCUGGACGGUAACUGACGCUGAGGUGCGAAAGCCAGGGUAGCGAACGGGAUUAGAUACCCCGGCAGUCCUGGCCGUAAACGAUGAAUGCUAGGUGUGCGAGCAGAGAUGUUGGUGUGCCGCAGUUAACGCGAUAAGCAUUCCGCCUGGGGAGUACGGUCGCAAGAUUGAAACUCAAAGGAAUUGACGGGGGCCCGCACAAGAAGGGCGA
This 303-nucleotide ribosomal RNA is filed under the name uncultured bacterium. Its description in RNAcentral is "bacterial SSU rRNA". It matches the Rfam family "Bacterial small subunit ribosomal RNA", at positions 634 to 937 of the family's 1533-position model. The record is from RNAcentral.